This 76-nucleotide transfer RNA is filed under the name Candidatus Nomurabacteria bacterium. RNAcentral's name for it is "tRNA-Phe". It matches the Rfam family "tRNA". Rfam says of the family: Transfer RNA (tRNA) molecules are approximately 80 nucleotides in length. The record is from RNAcentral. RNAcentral also lists the same sequence under 1 other name. Lineage: Bacteria; Candidatus Nomuraibacteriota.
GUCAGGAUAGCUCAGUUGGUAGAGCAUUCGCCUGAAGAGCGAAGGGUCGGCGGUUCGAGCCCGCCUCCUGACACCA